Molecule: microRNA precursor, 100 nt
Filed under: Marmota monax (woodchuck)
Lineage: Eukaryota; Metazoa; Chordata; Mammalia; Rodentia; Sciuridae
Source: RNAcentral
UGUUGAAUUGGACACUGUACACAAUUCCUAGGCAACGUUUAGCAUGGCCACAAGCAAUUUCCUGGGCUUUGGCUAGAAACUAUACACAGUACUUAGCUUG